GAAAAAUGGAUAAGAUAAUGCAAUAAAAGGAUGGUAAGUAUAAAAUUUAUUAUAUUGGUUUUCAAUUAUUAAUUAUUUUUUAUUAGAUCAAAUUAUGAAGCUGCAGGCCCAAUUAUUGGAACAACACAAAAUUUUAGAUAACAGCAAAGCUAAGGAUGCUCAAAUUUUGAGUCUACAAGCUCAGCUAGGGGAAAAUAACAAAUUGGAACGGAACAGUUUCCAAACAGUGAAGGAGGUUUUUCAAAACUCUUCCCUAACUGAACGUGAGGAUGAGUUGACAUUAGGCGAACACAGUCAGUCCACCACCUGACAGUGUGUUAAAGUUAAAUUCUGUUAGUGCUGCACUAAAAGAAUCGUUAGUAAUAAGUCCAUGCAGCGAAGGAAGUGAACAAUUGUGGGACCGUAUUUGGGCCGAAAAUGGGUGUGGUACGGAAACCGAGAUAUGGCACGAGUUCAACAUAAAGCAUGGAUUAGAAUUUUAGCAGGGGAUCAAGUCAAGUCUGGAAGUGUUACAAGAUGGAAGAGUCAGCCUACAGUUGAAAAAACACUGAGAGUGGAUUACCAUUAAGCAAUCCUUUAUAGUUCUGUCACAGCUAGAAGCCUCAAAUAAUUCUGCUUCCCUUGCUAAAGAACAACUUGUCCUUUACGCUCAGAGUGUUGGUGAAGCUGGGUACUUAAAUGGCCCUAAAGAUGUUUCACUUCACUGGCAUUGCAGCGAUGAACAUCAUACAUGGACUCUUUAGGAAAGGAUUUUCAGCAUACUGGGAACACAACUAUCAACAAUGCUACAUUCUAGGGGUGCUAUUUUAUCAUUCAAGAGCCUUAUACAAUGAUUUUCAUCUACAAUUUGUAUGGCCUUUCCCAAGCUUCUGUCAGAAGUUGAAUCUAUGAGUCAUGUAAGUCACAUGAGCAACAAUUGAGAUGCUUAAUGGUGUUGUUUUUCUUUUCUCAGUGUAGGUUAAUAGUAACAUUGGAUCUGAAAAAAUUCUUGGUUGGGGCAUGACACUGAAUAAAUUGUAAUGAUUGGAUGGAUGACAUGAUAUUUCUAUACUUCAUUCGGAUUCCCGAGACGGUAUUUUAUAUUCAAAAAAUUGAAGUGCAUAUCUGGGCUCCCUUCCUUUCCGUAGCCCCGUUUCCCCUCGACUCG
This is a long non-coding RNA of Daphnia carinata, 1147 nucleotides long. RefSeq lists it as uncharacterized. Lineage: Eukaryota; Metazoa; Arthropoda; Branchiopoda; Diplostraca; Daphniidae. The record is from RefSeq and is a predicted model, not a curated record. The transcript has 6 exons.